CUCUUUGUUCGUGCAUUAUCGGGAUUUACAAGCACUCGUUCACGAAAAAGAAACUCGAAAUUUAACACUGCACUCGGCUGCGCCUCGUGCAGUGUUAAAUUUCUUGUUUCUUGUUCGUGAACUCGUGCUUGUAAAUCCCGAUAAUGCACGAACAAAGAG
Molecule: non-coding RNA, 159 nt
Organism: Paramuricea clavata
Lineage: Eukaryota; Metazoa; Cnidaria; Anthozoa; Malacalcyonacea; Plexauridae
Source: the annotation of a GenBank genome assembly